UACAGAGGGGGCAAGCGUUGUUCGGAAUUACUGGGCGUAAAGCGCACGUAGGCGGCUAUUCAAGUCGGGGGUGAAAGCCCGGGGCUCAACCCCGGAACUGCCCUCGAAACUAGAUAGCUAGAAUCUUGGAGAGGUCAGUGGAAUUCCGAGUGUAGAGGUGAAAUUCGUAGAUAUUCGGAAGAACACCAGUGGCGAAGGCGACUGACUGGACAAGUAUUGACGCUGAGGUGCGAAAGCGUGGGGAGCAAACAGG
Molecule: ribosomal RNA, 253 nt
Filed under: uncultured bacterium
Lineage: Bacteria
Description: partial 16S ribosomal RNA
Rfam family: Bacterial small subunit ribosomal RNA
Source: RNAcentral